RNAcentral lists this transfer RNA (85 nucleotides) under Candidatus Woesearchaeota archaeon. RNAcentral's name for it is "tRNA-Ser". It matches the Rfam family "tRNA". From Rfam's summary of the family: Transfer RNA (tRNA) molecules are approximately 80 nucleotides in length. The record is from RNAcentral. Lineage: Archaea; Nanobdellati; Candidatus Woesearchaeota.
GCCAAGGUCGGAUAAUCCGGCUAUUCCGGCUGCCUCGAAAGCAGCUGUCCUCACGGACGUGCAGGUUCAAAUCCUGCCCUUGGCG